GACGAACGCUGGCGGCGUGCUUAACACAUGCAAGUCGAACGGAAAGGCUCCAGCUUGCUGGAGUACUCGAGUGGCGAACGGGUGAGUAACACGUGGGUGAUCUGCCCUGCACUUCGGGAUAAGCCUGGGAAACUGGGUCUAAUACCGGAUAGGACCGCACUUUGGUGUGUGUGGUGGAAAGGUUUUUCUGGUGUGGGAUGAGCUCGCGGCCUAUCAGUUUGUUGGUGGGGUAAUGGCCUACCAAGACGGCGACGGGUAGCCGGCCUGAGGGGGUGGACGGGCACAUUGGGACUGAGAUACGGCCCAGACUCCUACGGGAGGCAGCAGUGGGGAAUAUUGCACAAUGGGGGAAACCCUGAUGCAGCGACGCCGCGUGGGGGAUGAAGGCCUUCGGGUUGUAAACUCCUUUCGCUAGGGACGAAGCUUUUUGUGACGGUACCUGGAGAAGAAGCACCGGCUAACUACGUG
RNAcentral lists this ribosomal RNA (468 nucleotides) under uncultured bacterium. RNAcentral describes it as "partial 16S ribosomal RNA". It matches the Rfam family "Bacterial small subunit ribosomal RNA", at positions 28 to 507 of the family's 1533-position model. The record is from RNAcentral.